AACGGCCAUACCAUGCUGAAUAUACCGGUUCUCGUUAGAUCACCGAAGUCAAGAAUCAUUGGGCGCGGUCAGUACUUGGGUGGGUGGG
Molecule: non-coding RNA, 88 nt
Organism: Caerostris darwini
Lineage: Eukaryota; Metazoa; Arthropoda; Arachnida; Araneae; Araneidae
Source: the annotation of a GenBank genome assembly